RNAcentral lists this ribosomal RNA (425 nucleotides) under uncultured bacterium. RNAcentral's name for it is "bacterial SSU rRNA". It matches the Rfam family "Bacterial small subunit ribosomal RNA", at positions 356 to 773 of the family's 1533-position model. The record is from RNAcentral.
AGGGAAUCUUCCGCAAUGGACGAAAGUCUGACGGAGCAACGCCGCGUGAGUGAUGAAGGCCUUCGGGUCGUAAAACUCUGUUGUUAGGGAAGAACAAGUAUCGGAGUAACUGACGGUACCUUGACGGUACCUAACCAGAAAGCCACGGCUAACUACGUGCCAGCAGCCGCGGUAAUACGUAGGUGGCAAGCGUUGUCCGGAAUUAUUGGGCGUAAAGCGCGCGCAGGCGGCUUCUUAAGUCUGAUGUGAAAGCCCACGGCUCAACCGUGGAGGGUCAUUGGAAACUGGGGGACUUGAGUGCAGAAGAGGAAAGCGGAAUUCCACGUGUAGCGGUGAAAUGCGUAGAGAUGUGGAGGAACACCAGUGGCGAAGGCGGCUUUCUGGUCUGUAACUGACGCUGAGGCGCGAAAGCGUGGGGAGCAAAC